UUAACGAACUUGAUUCGUUUGAUUAAUUAACAUAUUAAUUAAUCCUUGCCAUAAAUAAUUAAAUCAUUUAAUUAUUCUUACUCAUCUCCAUUGUUUCUUCAAUUUCUGCCUUACACGGUGUACGAUCCAUUAGGUUCCUUUUAGCGAGGCAGUGGGCGAUUAAAACCAUUUCAAAUCGAUUGUGAAUUGAAACUUACUUUCAAUUCUCCCUUUAGUGAUUAUACACGUUUAGGGCUUCCACAAACCAUGAGUGACACCUAGCAGCAUAUCAUGGUUACCCAAGCUAAUCAGAAGAGGUGGAAAACCUAUUCAGUUUAGGAUUACAAAUGCAAUACGGUCUUUCUCUAAUACAAUACUCUUGACCACAUUGUUUGGUUUGAUAGUUUAUUCAUGUCUACUAUCCAAUGUGAUUCGUGUGCUUAUAUGAUUACUUUGAAUGUGAUUUGGAACGACUUCCUAAAUCUCAUUCAUACUCUGGCCAGAGAUUCUUAAUCAUAUCAUAGAGUAUUCUCCCUCAAACGGUUUGAAGGUUAGAGAUCCCUUGUUGCGCAUUUAAUUGCCUCCAUGGUUAAGUGGCUUAACCCCAACUAUGCCGUGGACACCCUCCUUUUGGAGUGACUUUUGACAUAAUCAAAGAUCAAGGACUUAACCACAAGACAACUAUGAUGCCUCAGGUCAAAGGACUACUUUGCAUUAUCCUAACCAUGAGUUCUCAUGUGACAUGAAUAUGAGAACUCUUCGUUGGUCGUGUUCAGUGAACUCAUUCUCUAUUGAGCACCUACGUACUUGUCUUGAUGUCACACACACCAAUGACUCGAGACUAGUCACUCUCCCUGAGAGAAGACAGAGCACGUACUGAUCUUAACGGACUGUCAAUGCCCAAUUGGCAAUCCUAUGAUCAGGAACGUUUAGGAUGUGUCUACGAAAGAAGGGUCUCAUGAAUCUAACUUCUUUAGAUUGCAUUCUCCCAAUCACAUAUUCCUUGGACUUAUCGUUUAAGCAUAUAACAUUUAUAUGAGACGGCUUAAAACAAUAAUCUUUGCCCUUUAUAUUUAAACUACAUUAGUUUAACUUGUGAAAUGUCCGUAAAGCAUCAUCAUAUGAUUUGUUUUAGGGCACAUUUCCAACAACUUGGGCCGUGGCCUUGGUGUCGUGAGCCUUGGAUGGCACGGCUCGAGCCAUGGUGAAGGCACCAUAGACCUCGCCACAGGUGGCUACCGAGGUAGCCACCGUAAUGGUUCCCAUGGUGGAAACUCGUGGUGGUGGUGCUGCUCUACUUAUUGUCGCAUUUAGCCUCACGGAUCUCCGCAAUCCCAUUUCUUGAACAUUAGAAUUUUCACUUGUGGAAUUUUCUAAAUUUCUAGCCAUUAUAUUUUGCUUAUAUGUUUUUAUCAAAGAACCUUUGCAAGUAAAAAAUUCUAAUAAUAAGAAUGUAUGAAAAAUAUUCAAAUGGACUAGAAAAUAAAGAAAAAACCUUUUUGUGCGAGAAUCUUCUACGUGUAUGGAUUUCAACUCUCAAUGAAAGCACCAAUUUGUGGAUGCAAAUUUCUUCCUCCUUGAUCUUGGACAAUUUUGCACCUACAAAACAAUUAACACCUUAGGUUAAGGCCAAGAGCCUCACGCGCCCACGAUGAAUGGGGGGGCUUUGGCAGAAGAACCUCCGAUGCCAAUGUUAGAAUUUAGAGAGAAAGAGUGUUUAGAGAAUUUUGGGAUUUUUGCCAAAGUGUUGGAAUGAAUAUUUGGUGAAAAUAGGUUGGUUUAGGUUUUAUUUUGGUUUAAUUAGCCAAUUAAUUGGCUAAUAAAAAGGAAGAAAUGGUGAAAAAGGUAGAAAAAGUGAUGGAUUAGGUUUUGAAUGGGGAUAGCCGGCCAUGUGGUGUUUUAGGGUUGAAUUGGAUGUGUUUUGUGGUUAUUUGGAUAUAAUGGAUGGUUUAAUUGACAAUUAAUGGGUUAAUUAGGCAAUAAACCCAUUAAUUAGCCAAUUAACAUAAUUUAAAAGGAAUGUGUUUAGGAAUUACCUUGUAGAAAGGAUUUGAUGAGAUGGACUUUGAAUUGUUACCUAUUUUGGGCACUUCUGUCUUGGUUGAAAGAGGGUUUCCCGCUGCUUGCGCGUAGGAACCUCGUUGUACUGCAAGGGUAUUUUUGUCCUUUUUGUCCAAAAAUCCACGUGUCGCCUUGAGAAUAUUUUUGGCUCCACACUUAUCAUCGAAUAUUCGUGGCGAUUCUUAGUAUUGGAGAUUCUUUUCGAGGGUACGAUUCUUAAUCCACUCUACUGUACUUACUUAUGCUCUAACGUCUGAUAUUUAGGCACUCUUAGGUUUAAAUUUAUUCACAUUUUUUCCACAUCAUCACACUUUAUGGCUUCGUCACCUUCCAGGUGUGGGCCAGUGCAGCUAGAUUCGAAGUUCUAGUGGACAUUUCGGGUCAGGGUGUGUCAGUUUGUUAUCAGAGCCAGGUUGGGCAGUAUUGCGUUCAUCACUGAAGGAAAUUUUGUGAAAAACAUGUUCAUUUGAGCAACAUCUAUGGCAUGCAAUUAACAAUUAAAGGCGGAAUCAUGCUUGUAUGCACUCAAAAACAAAACAUUACCCAUGAAAUUCAAAGCCUAGUAGAAGGGUGAACCAAGACUCAACUCAAAACAAAGUGAGUUGAGAAAAUUUAUACCUUUGUUGAUUUUUCUUUGCAUAAGCAAAGGCUAAUCACCCAAGGAGAGGGCCUUCAUUCUUGCUUCUUAGCUCCAUGGAUUUCUUGGAUGAGGAUGGUUGAAAGGAUUCUCCAAGUUCCCAAAGUUGAGAACCUCUAAGUCUUCACACCAAGGUAGGACUUGAAGAAGAGAUGAGUGACCUAGAGGAAGUAAGAUUGCUAGCUAAAAUCCUCUAGGGUGGCCGGCCUCUUAGAGAGAAAAAUGGAGCUUGUGUUCUCAUCUUUUCUCUAAAAGAAACCCUAAGGAUGAAAUGGCUAUAAAGUUGCCUUUAUACCACCUCACAAUGGAGUGGCAAACUUGCAAUUAAGCCAAGUUCACUACCCCUCUCUAUAUGGCCGGUUUUCCCAAGGCUUUGGGUUGUUUUGGGCCUCUUGAAUUUUGUUUGUUAAGUUGUCAUACAACUUAAACUAAUGGGCUUGACGAUUCGAAGCCCAAUUUGGGCUUUAAGGCCCAAAACUAACUCAAGGUUUAAAACGAACUUAUUCGUUUGAUUAAUUAACAUAUUAAUUAAUUCUUGCCAUAAAAAAUUAAACCAUUUAAUUGUCCUUACUCAUCUCCGUUGUUUCUUCAAUCUCUACCUUACAUGGUGUACGAUCCAUUAGGUUCAUUUUAGCGAGGCAGUGGGCAAUUAGAACUCUUUCAAAUCGAUUGUGAAUUGAAACUUACUUUCAAUUCUCCCUUUAGUGAUUAUACAUGUUUAGGGCUUCACAAACCAUGAGUGACACCUAGCAGUAUGUCAUGGUUACCCAAGCUAAUCAGAAG
RNAcentral lists this long non-coding RNA (3460 nucleotides) under Malus domestica (apple). Its description in RNAcentral is "long non-coding RNA (MDOM_LNC019593)". The record is from RNAcentral. Lineage: Eukaryota; Viridiplantae; Streptophyta; Magnoliopsida; Rosales; Rosaceae.